CAGCCGCCACGGGAAUACGAAGGGGGCUAGCGUUGUUCGGAAUUACUGGGCGUAAAGCGCACGUAGGCGGAUAUUUAAGUCAGGGGUGAAAUCCCAGAGCUCAACUCUGGAACUGCCUUUGAUACUGGGUAUCUUGAGUAUGGAAGAGGUGAGUGGAAUUCCGAGUGUAGAGGUGAAAUUCGUAGAUAUUCGGAGGAACACCAGUGGCGAAGGCGGCUCACUGGUCCAUUACUGACGCUGAGGUGCGAAAGCGUGGGGAGCAAACAGGAUUAGAUACCCCAGUAGUCCCUGUCUCUUAUAA
Molecule: ribosomal RNA, 301 nt
Filed under: uncultured bacterium
Lineage: Bacteria
Description: partial 16S ribosomal RNA
Rfam family: Bacterial small subunit ribosomal RNA
Source: RNAcentral